GACAGAGGGUGCAAGCGUUAAUCGGAAUUACUGGGCGUAAAGGGCGCGUAGGUGGGAGAAUAAGUCUGAUGUGAAAGCCCUGGGCUUAACUUGGGGAUGGCGUUGGAAACUGUUUUUCUGGAGUGAAGUAGAGGGUAGCGGAAUUUCCGGUGUAGCGGUGAAAUGCGUAGAUAUCGGAAAGAACACCGGUGGCGAAGGCGGCUACCUGGACUUUAACUGACACUGAGGCGCGAAAGCAUGGGGAGCGAACAGG
This 253-nucleotide ribosomal RNA is filed under the name uncultured bacterium. RNAcentral describes it as "partial 16S ribosomal RNA". It matches the Rfam family "Bacterial small subunit ribosomal RNA", at positions 524 to 776 of the family's 1533-position model. The record is from RNAcentral.